AUUGAACGCUGGCGGCAGGCUUAACACAUGCAAGUCGAGCGGAGAGAGGUAGCUUGCUGCUGAUCUUAGCGGCGGACGGGUGAGUAAUGCUUAGGAAUCUGCCUAUUAGUGGGGGACAACAUUUCGAAAGGAAUGCUAAUACCGCAUACGUCCUACGGGAGAAAGCAGGGGAUCUUCGGACCUUGCGCUAAUAGAUGAGCCUAAGUCGGAUUAGCUAGUUGGUGGGGUAAAGGCCUACCAAGGCGACGAUCUGUAGCGGGUCUGAGAGGAUGAUCCGCCACACUGGGACUGAGACACGGCCCAGACUCCUACGGGAGGCAGCAGUGGGGAAUAUUGGACAAUGGGCGCAAGCCUGAUCCAGCCAUGCCGCGUGUGUGAGGAAGGCCUUAUGGUUGUAAAGCACUUUAAGCGAGGAGGAGGCUACUUUAGAUAAUACCUAGAGAUAGUGGACGUUACUCGCAGAAUAAGCACCGGCUAACUCUGUGCCAGCCGCCGCCGUAA
This 501-nucleotide ribosomal RNA is filed under the name uncultured bacterium. RNAcentral describes it as "partial 16S ribosomal RNA". It matches the Rfam family "Bacterial small subunit ribosomal RNA", at positions 30 to 523 of the family's 1533-position model. The record is from RNAcentral.